UUUCAGCCAUUUCCUGAAGGCAUUUUCUAUGAAUUUGAAGGCAGGAAGUAUUGUGAGCAUGACUUUCAUGUCCUGUUCGCACCGUGCUGUGGAUCAUGCAACGAGUUCAUCAUCGGUCGGCGUGAUCAAGGCGAUGAACAACAACUGGCAUCGAACUGCUUCAAGUGCGAGCUGUGC
This is a long non-coding RNA of Priapulus caudatus, 177 nucleotides long. RefSeq lists it as uncharacterized. NCBI's taxonomy places the organism in Eukaryota, Metazoa, Priapulida, Priapulimorpha, Priapulimorphida, Priapulidae. The record is from RefSeq and is a predicted model, not a curated record. The transcript is spliced from 3 exons.